UCCCAGUCUAGCAUUGGAAACACUUCUAGG
RNAcentral lists this non-coding RNA (30 nucleotides) under Homo sapiens (human). The record is from RNAcentral. Lineage: Eukaryota; Metazoa; Chordata; Mammalia; Primates; Hominidae.